This 631-nucleotide long non-coding RNA is filed under the name Nicotiana benthamiana. RNAcentral's name for it is "long non-coding RNA (NBEN_LNC037131)". The record is from RNAcentral. Lineage: Eukaryota; Viridiplantae; Streptophyta; Magnoliopsida; Solanales; Solanaceae.
AAGUGAGAUAAGCUUUUACAGUAGAUCAGGGAUUCAUGCAAUCCAAAGUCAAUAACAAUGUCUUGAGCAUGUCAUAAAUUAGCUACUCUAAAACUGUGGGAGCCGGUCAGCUUGCAACAGGACAUGAUGAACUGAGAUAUGUUUAGCUGAAGGUGCUGCUAAUACUUGCUUUCAUCCCUUGAAGAUAGUUUUUUUUUUCAUACUAUGAUACUCCAGUGAUAUUUGCUACAUGGCAGCUGUUCGGUAGUUGAAGGCUCAGUUGAACAUUCCUUCUGUACAUAGAUGCAAAUAAUACAUGAUUUAAUCAGAACAGGCAUAAUUCAUGAGUCAUUAAUUGGAAACUCAUCUCCCUACAUAAUUAAGGUCAGGAGAGAGUGAAAUAUGGCAAAGUUAACAGAAUCUGAUAUAUUAAAUUCAUGAGCUUUUCCUUGUAUAUUGCUCCAGAAACGUUGAUUGAAGAUUCUUAUCUAAAGUAGCCAACUUAGUAUGUUUCUCAAUUGAAACUUAGUAAAGCAUAUCAUUUUACUAUUUGUUGUACUUUUUUCAGUUGAGAGAAAUUGAAAACCAUAUACGAUUUUCUGUUUCUCAAUUGAAACUUGGCAAAGCAUGUCAUUUUGCUGUUUGUUGUACU